Ornithodoros turicata is the source of this 843-nucleotide long non-coding RNA. RefSeq lists it as uncharacterized. The transcript is spliced from 5 exons. Lineage: Eukaryota; Metazoa; Arthropoda; Arachnida; Ixodida; Argasidae. The record is from RefSeq and is a predicted model, not a curated record.
UAGACCAGCGGCGUGCGUUGCGCGUCCACAGACAUUCGGGGGAAACCCCGUGAACAUUGCACUUCGCAUGAGCUGUCUGAUAAAAAGCCGAGUGCCUUGAAGCCCAGGAUAUCAUUGCUGGCCCCAGCCUACUGUCCGCAACAGUGCGUGUACGUCCUUGCAGGCAGCAGCAGUGGGCGAGGCGUCAACCCUGACUUCGUUGAUUGAUCAAUACAGACGCAAGGCUGAAGCACCUGCGUGGUCUUGACCGGGAGUAGCCCCGUUUACCACCCAGUGAGACCCGCACGUAGACCAGGACGCAUAAAAGCGAACGCAGCCACCGCGACCCACAACAACACUAGCAGGGAUCGAGCAAGAAGAUCUAUACCAUCUCGCUUAGACUCAAAGAUGACGAAAACAUUUAUUGUUCUGGCCACCCUUCUGGGUAUGGCGUCGUGUUUCAACUACUUCACGCCCGUUCAGAUCUGCUCUAGCCAAGAUCUGUACGAAUUCGUCGAGAAACUGUGCAAGACUCCUCUCAUGGCGCACCCGCAGAAACGGGGAGUUCAAUUCGGUACAAUAAGCGCUGAACAAUUCGCAACGAUGUGCUGCAGAAACCACUGCUACCCGUUACAAUUUAUCGACCUGUGCUAACCAAAGGAACAAAGUAACGUGAGUGACACGAGAGACCAAAGCGCACAUGCACCUACUCGAAGUGCACGUCAGUACUACGCCACUAAUUUAAAGUAACAUGUAAAUACUAUGUCUACGGUUGUACCUGGGGAUUUUGGGGACGCGGUUUACUCACUGUGAAUACUUAACUUAUUAUGCUGUCAUUUGUAAUAAACUGAGUCCUGUUUUGCA